RNAcentral lists this non-coding RNA (131 nucleotides) under Streptomyces sp. Lineage: Bacteria; Bacillati; Actinomycetota; Actinomycetes; Kitasatosporales; Streptomycetaceae. The record is from RNAcentral.
AGAGGAAGCCGGUGCGAAUCCGGCGCGGUCCCGCCACUGUCACCGGGGAGCGGUCCCCCACCGCACGUCACGGCCCGCGCGAGCGGGCUGGAAGACCGGGGGAAUCCGCCGAUCCGGAAGCCAGGAGACUC